RNAcentral lists this ribosomal RNA (488 nucleotides) under uncultured bacterium. RNAcentral describes it as "partial 16S ribosomal RNA". It matches the Rfam family "Bacterial small subunit ribosomal RNA", at positions 28 to 507 of the family's 1533-position model. The record is from RNAcentral.
GACGAACGCUGGCGGCGUGCUUAACACAUGCAAGUCGAACGGAAAGGCCCUGCUUUUGUGGGGUGCUCGAGUGGCGAACGGGUGCGUAACACGUGAGUAACCUGCCCUUGACUUUGGGAUAACUUCAGGAAACUGGGGCUAAUACCGGAUAGGAGCUCCUGUUGCAUGGUGGGGGGUGGAAAGUUUCGGCGGUUGGGGAUGGACUUGCGGCUUAUCAGCUUGUUGGUUGGGUAGUGGCUUACCAAGGCGUGGACGGGUAGCCGGCCGGAGAGGGUGAUCGGCCACACUGGAACUGAGACAGGGUCCUGACGCCUACGGGACGCAGCAGUGGGGAAUAUUGGACAAUGGGCGCAAGCCUGAUCCAGCCAUACCGAGUGGGUGGAGAAGGCGUUCCGGUUGUAAAGCCCUUUUGUUGGGAAAGAAAAGCAGCAGGUUAAUACCCCGCGGUUCUGACGGUACCCAAAGAAUAAGCACCGGCUAACUUCGUG